UAGGGAAUCUUCGGCAAUGGACGAAAGUCUGACCGAGCAACGCCGCGUGAGUGAAGAAGGUUUUCGGAUCGUAAAACUCUGUUGUUAGAGAAGAACAAGGACGUUAGUAACUGAACGUCCCCUGACGGUAUCUAACCAGAAAGCCACGUCUAACUACUUGCCAGCAGCCGCGUUAAUACGUAGGUGGCAAGCGUUGUCCGGAUUUAUUGUGCGUAAAGCGAGCGCAGGCGGUUUCUUAAGUCUGAUGUGAAAGCCCCCGGCUCAACCGGGGAGGGUCAAUGGAAACUGGGAGACUUGAGUGCAGAAGAGGAGAGUGGAAUUCCAUGUGUAGCGGUGAAAUGCGUAGAUAUAUGGAGGAACACCAGUGGCGAAGGCGGCUCUCUGGUCUGUAACUGACGCUGAGGCUAGAAAGCGUGGGGAGCAAACAGG
Molecule: ribosomal RNA, 429 nt
Filed under: Gemmatimonadota bacterium
Lineage: Bacteria; Pseudomonadati; Gemmatimonadota
Description: Gemmatimonadetes bacterium partial 16S ribosomal RNA
Rfam family: Bacterial small subunit ribosomal RNA
Source: RNAcentral